This 468-nucleotide ribosomal RNA is filed under the name uncultured bacterium. RNAcentral describes it as "partial 16S ribosomal RNA". It matches the Rfam family "Bacterial small subunit ribosomal RNA", at positions 28 to 507 of the family's 1533-position model. The record is from RNAcentral.
GACGAACGCUGGCGGCGUGCUUAACACAUGCAAGUCGAACGGAAAGGCCCUGCUUUUGUGUGGUGCUCGCGUGGCGAACGGGUGUGUAACACGUGAGUAACCUGCCCUUGACUUUGGGAUAACUUCAGGAAACUGGGGCUAAUACCGGAUAGGAGCUCCUGCUGCAUGGUGGGGGUUGGAAAGUUUCGGCGGUUGGGGAUGGACUCGCGGCUAAUCAGCUUGUGGGGGGGGUAGUGGCUUACCCAGGCUUUGAUGGGUAGCCGGCCUGAGAGGGUGACCGGCCACAUGGGGACUGAGAGACGGCCCAGACGGCUACGGGAGGCAGCAGUGGGGAAUAUUGCACAAUGGGCGGAAGCCUGAUGCAGCAAUGCCGCGUGCGGGAUGACGGCCUUCGUGUUGUAAACCGCUGUCGCUUGUGACGAAGCGUGAGUGACGGUAAUGGGUAAAGAAGCACCGGCUAACUACGUG